CCCUGUUCAUAGAAAAAAUAAACAAAAUAUAUUUUAUGGAGUAACCUGAGCUAAUGCCAAGCAAAGUAGUUUGAUGUUUACAACAUUGCAUACUAAAUUAAAGAAGUUAAAAUCACAAAUUUUUAUUAAUUUUUGAUCAUUUAUUAUACCUUUUUUUCUAGAAGCUCACAAUUUCUGGAUCUUAUCAAUUGUGCCAAUAAAUGGAUUUCUAAAGCAAAACUUCUCUUGCCACAAGAGUGUAAGUUAAGAAACCCGUUUUAUAGUGGAUACAGGGUAUACGGGCACUGAAAACGGAGGCUCUGACUGGGCACAUCAUUAGGUGCUGCCAUUUGAUGAAGUUUUAAUGAAAGGAACAGCAGCAGCGGCAGCAGCAACAACAACAACAACAAAUACAAGAAGAGGCACGAAAUAAACCAUUUGGGGUCCGAACAUCUUUUGCCGUUUGCCUUUUUUGGCCCAAUCAAAAAUUAAUGAGUGCCAGGCGCUUAUAAGUGAUAAAUCACCUUGACAAAGGCACAGAGCCAGGCAAAAGAGUGAGCAAGGGAGCAACACAACGAGAGGGAGAGAGAGAAAGAAAGGGAGAGAGCAAGAGCAAGAGAGAACCGGUCACAGGGUGUAGUAAAGCGCAUGUUGCCUGGUCACAAAUGAAAAUGGCAUCAUCAUAACAAUGAGAAUAAUAAUAAUAAUAGUAAUAAUAAUAAA
Drosophila virilis is the source of this 702-nucleotide long non-coding RNA. RefSeq lists it as uncharacterized. NCBI's taxonomy places the organism in Eukaryota, Metazoa, Arthropoda, Insecta, Diptera, Drosophilidae. The record is from RefSeq and is a predicted model, not a curated record.